This 501-nucleotide ribosomal RNA is filed under the name uncultured bacterium. Its description in RNAcentral is "bacterial SSU rRNA". It matches the Rfam family "Bacterial small subunit ribosomal RNA", at positions 32 to 507 of the family's 1533-position model. The record is from RNAcentral.
GACGACGCUGGCGGCGUGCCUAAUACAUGCAAGUCGAGCGGAAUGAUGAAGAAGCUUGCUUUCUUCUGAUUUUUAGCGGCGGACGGGUGGGUAACACGUGGGCAACCUACCUUGUAGAUUGGGAUAACUCCGGGAAACCGGGGCUAAUACCGAAUAAUCCAUUUUGCUUCAUGGCGAGAUGUUGAAAGACGGUUUCGGCUGUCACUACAAGAUGGGCCCGCGGCGCAUUAGCUAGUUGGUAGGGUAAUGGCCUACCAAGGCGACGAUGCGUAGCCGACCUGAGAGGGUGAUCGGCCACACUGGGACUGAGACACGGCCCAGACUCCUACGGGAGGCAGCAGUAGGGAAUCUUCCACAAUGGACGAAAGUCUGAUGGAGCAACGCCGCGUGAGUGAAGAAGGUUUUCGGAUCGUAAAACUCUGUUGUAAGGGAAGAACACGUACGAGAGUAACUGCUCGUACCUUGACGGUACCUUAUUAGAAAGCCACGGCUAACUACGUG